Aegilops tauschii subsp. strangulata is the source of this 676-nucleotide long non-coding RNA. RefSeq lists it as uncharacterized. The record is from RefSeq and is a predicted model, not a curated record. Lineage: Eukaryota; Viridiplantae; Streptophyta; Magnoliopsida; Poales; Poaceae.
CGCCCCCUGCUGGGCUCGGCCCGCUGUCGCCCUCUCGUCCGGUCCCGUCCUCCGUGCCCGGCCUGUCGUCCCCUGCUCCUUCGCCGGCUCCGCGGCUCUCGCUUCCUCCCCCCUCCAGUCGCUUGGAUCUCGUUUCUGGGCUCUCGACUCCGAUGAGGAUGUUUCCUCGGAUGAGGCGGCUGGGCCCUCGCCGGUCUUCCCCCUGCUGGCUUCCGCUCCCCUUGGCGCGCCUCGCUCCCGCAAGUUUGAUCCUGGGGGCUGGGGUCGGCCGGUGGUGUCUCCGGUGGCGAACGCUGGCUGGGUCUGUGUCUCUCGUCAUCAUCGCAAGUCUGUAGUGGAGAUUAUUGACUAAGCCGGAGGACCAGGAUGCACUUGAUCUUCUCAUUUCUAAAGUUCGGGCCUCGACGUCGUCUCUCUGGGCAGGAUCUUGGUGUCUAGACCUACGCGUUUUGGAGUUUCUUCGACUUAGUUGCUGGCUUCGUCUUUCGUACUUUCUCCGGCCUGCGUGUCGUGUUUGGCAGGGUGCCAUGUAUCCGUCGUACUUUCCAGCUCGUCUAUGCGUGCCCGCGUUUGGGUGAACUUGUUGUUGUUUCAUCCUUGUUGAUGUUGCUGUUGCUCUGUGACUCUGCCUUGUAGCUUUAUUUAUAAAGUCGGGCGUAGGCCUUUUCUGUAAAAA